GUGGCUUCGGCAGCACAUAUACUAAAAUUGGAACGAUACAGAGAAGAUUAGCACGGCCCCUGCGCAAGGAUGACACGCAAAUUCGAGGAGUGGCUUCCCAACAGCAU
Malaclemys terrapin pileata is the source of this 107-nucleotide small nuclear RNA. The record is from RefSeq and is a predicted model, not a curated record. Lineage: Eukaryota; Metazoa; Chordata; Testudines; Emydidae.